Molecule: ribosomal RNA, 497 nt
Filed under: uncultured bacterium
Lineage: Bacteria
Description: partial 16S ribosomal RNA
Rfam family: Bacterial small subunit ribosomal RNA
Source: RNAcentral
GAUGAACGCUGGCGGCGUGCCUAAUACAUGCAAGUCGAGCGAACGGACGAGAAGCUUGCUUCUCUGAUGUUAGCGGCGGACGGGUGAGUAACACGUGGAUAACCUACCUAUAAGACUGGGAUAACUUCGGGAAACCGGAGCUAAUACCGGAUAAUAUUUUGAACCGCAUGGUUCAAAAGUGAAAGACGGUCUUGCUGUCACUUAUAGAUGGAUCCGCGCUGCAUUAGCUAGUUGGUAAGGUAACGGCUUACCAAGGCAACGAUGCAUAGCCGACCUGAGAGGGGGGAUGGGCCCCACUGGACCGAAGACACGUUCCAGCCCCCAACGGGAGGCAGCAGUGGGGAUUUUCCGGCAUGGGGCGAAAGCUGGCGGGAGCAACCCGGCGGGAGUAAUGAAGUCCUUGGAUUCGUAAACCUUUGUUAUUAGGGAAGAAAAGAUGUGUAGGUAACGGUGCACAUCUUGACGGUACCAAACCAGAAAGCCCCGGCAACCUCCGU